GGGGGGUACUGACAGACUAUACAUAUAUCCUCCGUAUAAUAUUAGAUAUUAGUAUAAUUACAUAGAUGAUUAUUGAAAAUUCUCCACGCUGAUUGGUUGCCGAUGAGGUGAUUAUAAAGCGAUAAUCACCUAAGCGAUUUUCAAAAUGGCGGCCGAAGCUAUUUUUUUUUCAAGUAAAUGACGAAGAAAUGUGUAUUCCUACCCCCCCCAAUAAUCACCUAUGAAAUUAUACUAAAGCAAUUAUUCACCUCAGGCUGGGUGAUUAUCGUGAAUAAAAACCUCGACUUCGUCUUGGUUUUUAUUCACCGAUAAUCACUACGCCUUCGGCGAAUAAUUGUUAAAUAAUACCUCCAAGUACGCCACAUUACUCGGUGCCUUUUAUUAAAAGUCGUCUUUCUGGAUGAACCUCGUAAAGACAUUAGACAAUACAAUUGUGACGACAUUUUCAGAUAUCUAUCGGUGCAAGUUCGAAUUUCUUUACUGGGCAUAUUUGCCAACAUCGACAAAGGUUCGUUCACUUCAUUUCUAAUUCGCUUUCUCUCACGAAUUGUUUGGGAAAAAGGAUUUGUUUGACCACGGUUUGACAUUGUAAUAAGUGUAUAUGAAAUGAAAAUUUCUAUAUCGGGUUUUUUGCAUUUUCUGAAAAUUUGGUCUUUUCCGAUCACAAAAAUACCAACCUUGUUGACAAAUUCGAACCAGAAGUUUGUUAAUUUUACGAUUAAAGUUCGAUUUUGAGACUAUCUACUGGCGAAAUUCCUGACAUUCCAUCGCGCGGCCAGUGACGUGUGCAGUGUGACACAUUGCGAUCUUUCGAUAUGUAAACACUAUGAAAAUUAUAGCUUCGUCAGUGUAGAAUUGGGUUUUGAGAGAUUUUGAAGAAAAUUCAAACGAAUCCACUUUCUGUAGACAUCGCUUUCAAUGUAUAGAUACAAUAUAAUUACAACAUGACGAGUUGUAGCGUAUAUUAAGCGGCCGAAAAUACAAAUUCUAUGAGACAAGAGACUAUGUCUACGUUGUAGGUUUCAGACCGCAUAUUAUGUAGAAGCUAUAGCUGAUAUUAAUUAUGGCAAACAUUGUAGUAUAAAC
Non-coding RNA from Paramuricea clavata, 1086 nucleotides. Lineage: Eukaryota; Metazoa; Cnidaria; Anthozoa; Malacalcyonacea; Plexauridae. The record is from the annotation of a GenBank genome assembly.